Molecule: ribosomal RNA, 686 nt
Filed under: uncultured bacterium
Lineage: Bacteria
Description: bacterial SSU rRNA
Rfam family: Bacterial small subunit ribosomal RNA
Source: RNAcentral
AACGCUAGCUACAGGCUUAACACAUGCAAGUCGAGGGGCAUCAGGGUAGCAAUACCGCUGGCGACCGGCGCACGGGUGAGUAACACGUAUCCAACCUACCGUUAACUCGGGGAUAGCCUUUCGAAAGAAAGAUUAAUACCCGAUAGUAUAUUUUCUUCGCAUGUUGAAAAUAUUAAAGAAUUUCGGUUAUCGAUGGGGAUGCGUUCCAUUAGGCAGUUGGCGGGGUAACGGCCCACCAAACCUACGAUGGAUAGGGGUUCUGAGAGGAAGGUCCCCCACAUUGGAACUGAGACACGGUCCAAACUCCUACGGGAGGCAGCAGUGAGGAAUAUUGGUCAAUGGACGAAGGUCUGAACCAGCCAAGUAGCGUGAAGGAUGACUGCCCUAUGGGUUGUAAACUUCUUUUAUAUGGGAAUAAAGUUCUCCACGUGUGGAGUUUUGUAUGUACCAUUAUGAAUAAGCAUCGGCUAACUCCGUGCCAGCAGCCGCGGUAAUACGGAGGAUGCGAGCGUUAUCCGGAUUUAUUGGGUUUAAAGGGAGCGUAGGUGGACUGGUAAGUCAGUUGCGAAAGUUUGCGGCUCAACCGUAAAAUUGCAGUCGAUACUGUCAGUCUUGAGUACAGUAGAGGUGGGCGGAAUUCGUGGUGUAGCGGUGAAAUGCUUAGAUAUCACGAAGAACUCCGAUUG